UCAUUCCCAUUCAGCCCAGGAGGAGGGCUCCGAUCGCCGGUCUAACUGCAUCAUAUCAGAGAGGAGGAAAUCAUUCAGGAGGGACAGGAAGUUAUGACAUAACACGCUUCUGUGGUAUCUCACAGCCGGGUUUCCUGUGUCGGAAUGCUACUUAUGAACCUGCUGGUUUGGCCCAGAGUUUCCAUGGAAUCAAACGAUGUCCCUAAGAAGCAAAAAGGAUGAAGGGAGGAGGAGGAAGAGCUGGCAGGAUGGAGGGCUGGAGCG
Cyprinodon tularosa is the source of this 264-nucleotide long non-coding RNA. RefSeq lists it as uncharacterized. The record is from RefSeq and is a predicted model, not a curated record. NCBI's taxonomy places the organism in Eukaryota, Metazoa, Chordata, Actinopteri, Cyprinodontiformes, Cyprinodontidae. The transcript has 3 exons.